RNAcentral lists this ribosomal RNA (548 nucleotides) under uncultured Pezizomycotina. Its description in RNAcentral is "SSU rRNA". It matches the Rfam family "Eukaryotic small subunit ribosomal RNA", at positions 548 to 1098 of the family's 1831-position model. Lineage: Eukaryota; Fungi; Ascomycota. The record is from RNAcentral.
UUGGAGGGCAAGUCUGGUGCCAGCAGCCGCGGUAAUUCCAGCUCCAAUAGCGUAUAUUAAAGUUGUUGCAGUUAAAAAGCUCGUAGUUGAACCUUGAACCUGGCUGGCCGGUCCGCCUCACCGCGUGCACUGGUCCGGCCGGGUUUUUCCUUCUGGGGAGCCGCAUGCCCUUCACUGGGUGUGUCGGGGAACCAGGACUUUUACUUUGAAAAAAUUAGAGUGUUCAAAGCAGGCCUAUGCUCGAAUACAUUAGCAUGGAAUAAUAGAAUAGGACGUGUGGUUCUAUUUUGUUGGUUUCUAGGACCGCCGUAAUGAUUAAUAGGGAUAGUCGGGGGCAUCAGUAUUCAAUUGUCAGAGGUGAAAUUCUUGGAUUUAUUGAAGACUAACUACUGCGAAAGCAUUUGCCAAGGAUGUUUUCAUUAAUCAAGAACGAAAGUUAGGGGAUCGAAGACGAUCAGAUACCGUCGUAGUCUUAACCAUAAACUAUGCCGACUAGGGAUCGGACGAUGUUAAUUUUUUAAUGACUCGUUCGGCGCCUUACGGGAAAC